RNAcentral lists this non-coding RNA (253 nucleotides) under uncultured bacterium. RNAcentral's name for it is "partial 16S ribosomal RNA". It matches the Rfam family "Bacterial small subunit ribosomal RNA", at positions 524 to 776 of the family's 1533-position model. RNAcentral also lists the same sequence under 1 other name. The record is from RNAcentral.
UACAGAGGUCCCAAGCGUUGUUCGGAUUCACUGGGCGUAAAGGGUGCGUAGGUGGUGAGGUAAGUCGGAUGUGAAAUCUCCAAGCUCAACUUGGAAACUGCAUUGGAAACUGCCUUGCUAGAGGAUUUGAGGGGGGAUUGGAAUACUUGGUGUAGCAGUGAAAUGCGUAGAUAUCAAGUGGAACACCAGUGGCGAAGGCGAAUCCCUGGAAAAUACCUGACACUGAGGCACGAAAGCUAGGGGAGCAAACAGG